This 253-nucleotide ribosomal RNA is filed under the name uncultured bacterium. RNAcentral describes it as "partial 16S ribosomal RNA". It matches the Rfam family "Bacterial small subunit ribosomal RNA", at positions 524 to 776 of the family's 1533-position model. The record is from RNAcentral.
UACGGAGGGGGCAAGCGUUACUCGGAAUUAUUGGGCGUAAAGGGCGCGUAGGCGGUCUCGUGCGUCAGGGGUGAAAUCCCCGGGCUUAACCCGGGACGUGCCUCUGAUACGGCGAGACUUGAGUCCGGGAGAGGGGAGCAGAAUUCCCAGUGUAGCGGUGAAAUGCGUAGAUAUUGGGAGGAAUACCAGUGGCGAAGGCGGCUCCCUGGACCGGUACUGACGCUGAGGCGCGAAAGCGUGGGUAGCAAACAGG